RNAcentral lists this non-coding RNA (193 nucleotides) under Geobacteraceae bacterium. The record is from RNAcentral. Lineage: Bacteria; Pseudomonadati; Thermodesulfobacteriota; Desulfuromonadia; Geobacterales; Geobacteraceae.
AACUGAAUAACGGAUCACGGUGCCCGAAAGGGCUUGAUAGGGAAGAGGGGUGCAGCUUUAAGUGGAGCCAUUCCCCCGCGGACCCGCCGCUGUAAGCGAGGACAAUGGGCAUUACGUCACUGGUCGCAAGACCGGGAAGGCGCCCGGAGAAUGAAUCGCGAGCCAGAAGACCUGCCAUGAUCUCAGCACUCAA